CCAUGAUGCGACAUCUCCGCUCCGUUCAUCAUGUUGAAACUCCGCAGUCGGCAAAUCAAGCCUUCAAUCCACCUUGUAUUGUGUCAAGAAAGCAAGAACUUGAUUCUGCAUUGGUGGAUAUGAUUGUAAUGGAUGCACAACCAUUUUAAAUUGUUGAAGACAAAGGCUUCAAGGCUUUUGUCAACCUUUUGGACCCAUCCUACAUAAUUCCUAAUAGGAAGGCCUUGAGGACAAUGGUGGAGGAGAAGUACAAAGCCAAAAAAGGAGAAGGCUUUAGAUGUGGUUAGCAGGGCCCUCUGCUGUCAGCCUUACAGCAGACAUGUGGACAUCCAUUAACAUGGACGCUUAC
This is a non-coding RNA of Oryzias latipes (Japanese medaka), 349 nucleotides long. The record is from RefSeq and is a predicted model, not a curated record. Lineage: Eukaryota; Metazoa; Chordata; Actinopteri; Beloniformes; Adrianichthyidae.